This 1347-nucleotide ribosomal RNA is filed under the name uncultured bacterium. RNAcentral describes it as "partial 16S ribosomal RNA". It matches the Rfam family "Bacterial small subunit ribosomal RNA", at positions 28 to 1381 of the family's 1533-position model. The record is from RNAcentral.
GACGAACGCUGGCGGCGUGCUUAACACAUGCAAGUCGAACGGAAAGGCCCUGCUUUUGUGGGGUGCUCGAGUGGCGAACGGGUGAAUAACACGUGAGUAACCUGCCCUUGACUUUGGGAUAACUUCAGGAAACUGGGGCUAAUACCGGAUAGGAGCUCCUGCUGCAUGGUGGGGGUUGGAAAGUUUCGGCGGUUGGGGAUGGACUCGCGGCUUAUCAGCUUGUUGGUGGGGUAGUGGCUUACCAAGGCUUUGACGGGUAGCCGGCCUGAGAGGGUGACCGGCCACAUUGGGACUGAGAUACGGCCCAGACUCCUACGGGAGGCAGCAGUGGGGAAUAUUGCACAAUGGGCGGAAGCCUGAUGCAGCAACGCCGCGUGCGGGAUGACGGCCUUCGGGUUGUAAACCGCUUUCGCCUGUGACGAAGCGUGAGUGACGGUAAUGGGUAAAGAAGCACCGGCUAACUACGUGCCAGCAGCCGCGGUGAUACGUAGGGUGCGAGCGUUGUCCGGAUUUAUUGGGCGUAAAGGGCUCGUAGGUGGUUGAUCGCGUCGGAAGUGUAAUCUUGGGGCUUAACCCUGAGCGUGCUUUCGAUACGGGUUGACUUGAGGAAAGGUAGGGGAGAAUGGAAUUCCUGGUGGAGCGGUGGAAUGCGCAGAUAUCAGGAGGAACACCAGUGGCGAAGGCGGUUCUCUGGGCCUUUCCUGACGCUGAGGGGCGAAAGCGUGGGGAGCGAACAGGCUUAGAUACCCUGGUAGUCCACGCUGUAAACGGUGGGUACUAGGUGUGGGGUCCAUUCCACGGGUUCCGUGCCGUAGCUAACGCUUUAAGUACCCCGCCUGGGGAGUACGGCCGCAAGGCUAAAACUCAAAGGAAUUGACGGGGCCCCGCACAAGCGGCGGAGCAUGCGGAUUAAUUCGAUGCAACGCGUAGAACCUUACCUGGGUUUGACAUGGAUCGGGAGUGCUCAGAGAUGGGUGUGCCUCUUUUGGGGUCGGUUCACAGGUGGUGCAUGGCUGUCGUCAGCUCGUGUCGUGGGAUGUUGGGUUAAGUCCCGCAACGAGCGCAACCCUUGUUCACUGUUGCCAGCACGUUAUGGUGGGGACUCAGUGGAGACCGCCGGGGUCAACUCGGAGGAAGGUGGGGAUGACGUCAAGUCAUCAUGCCCCUUAUGUCCAGGGCUUCACGCAUGCUACAAUGGCUGGUACAGAGAGUGGCGAGCCCGUGAGGGUGAGCGAAUCUCGGAAAGCCGGUCUCAGUUCGGAUUGGGGUCUGCAACUCGACCUCAUGAAGUCGGAGUCGCUAGUAAUCGCAGAUCAGCAACGCUGCGGUGAAUACGUUCCCGGGGCU